UACAAGGAGCUGCAUUUAACUUCUGAAGAGCCACGUGUGGCUCCAGAGCCACAGGUUGGCCACCCCUGGCCUAGAACAAACAGCCUGACCAUUCAACUGGAACCUGAGACAGUGCAUUUGGAUCCGAUUCCGAAUCCCCAAGGUCAUGAGUGUUCACGGGCAGGGUCUGUUAAUCCCAAAGGGACUGUGUGAAGUAUACAAUUUGGAUAUGGGAUUUUAGGGUACGAUGCUGCUCCCAUUAUUUUGUGAUUGGCUUCAAAGGGAGCAGGAUUGGAACCUCAUUUUGGGCCCAUCUCCACUAAGACAGUCAGUAUUCCUGCUGGUCCCUGGCAGGAGAACUGAUGUUACAACAAGCCAUCUGACAAAGGGCAUUUUAACUAGCACAAACUGGAAAUUCUUUUUUUAAUAUCUAUUUUGCAAUUGCAUUUUCCAGUAAUGGUUCUUAGAAUACAAGAUGAUAUACAUGCUGUCCUGUCACUGUUUAAUCUAACAUUCCUAAGAUAUUAGGCUGUAGUCUUGCUUAACUGCAUGCAGAGUUUUCUACUCAGAUCAGUGCUAGCCAUUCUGGGGAGAAAAACCUGCCAACGCUCUGCAGUCAAAAAAUCUACCAUUCUAUUCCUGAGUCUACCUUAAGUCUGAUUUUUUUCAUUGCUCUUGCCAUUUUACAUCUGGGGAUGGAGCAUGCAUGAAUUUACCAUCCCUGUGCUUUUUAUUCCUCUGCCAGUGCUAGUCAUGUGUGUUCUCUCUUACUCACACAUUUCCUCUCAAAAUUGCAUUAAGUGUUAGAGUUCUUGGCAGCGCAUACAGGAUAACAUCAUUUUUAAUAGCAGUCACAAGUGUCCUCUUUCAGAGAGGUGAAGUAAGAGGGUUUUCCAGUGGCAUGACAUAAUGGUGCUGUCAGGAGUAUGCACAGUGGGUUAGGAUCACUGGGAAUGGCUAUAUGUCUUAGCAUCUUUUCAUCAAUCAUUCCUUCUAGAAUCAGCUGACAUGUCCUAGAAAUGGUGAAUUCUGGCCUCAAACCAACACCUACUUAACCUCCUAUCCCACAGCUCUGACUAUAUGACUUUUAGUGUCAUCUGGCACUUUGAGCCAAAUUCAGACCUAGUGUCAGCAGGUGCAACUCUCAUGGAAGUCUCUAGGACAAAUUCAUCAUGUGAUGUAAUGGUACAGAGUAAGCUGCAUUAAUUUGGCAUUCAGUAGCGGUCCAGUUCUGAUCUCACCUCUGUUUUAUAUCAGUGUGACUUCACUGAAGUCUGUGGAAUUACUCCUGAUUUACAUGGAUGUGCAAAAAGAGUGUAACUUACACAAUGAAGGGGAAGAAGAGGAGGUGGCAGAAGGAAAAGAAAUUACCAGAAAUGUGUAGAGUACAAGAGGGGGGCUGCUUUACCUCACUCUACAGUAUGAUGAGUGGAACUGGAGGAUGAGGGUCCGGUUUCAGGAGGGACCUAGUUUGGUGAGGCUCCAGGGGCUCAGCAAUAUAAGCAGGGGCCAAGCUGCUAUUGCACACACACACACUAGAUCCUCAACAUGUAUGAGUGGCCUGUCAGCAAGGGUAAUGAAGUUCUGUUUCCUGUAACUCUGCCAUGUCACUUAUUGCUAAUGAGAGACACAUCUUCCUGCAAGUUGUUUUUCCUGGUGAACUUCCUUCUUCUCCUUUGGUGUGUUAGGUACACACAUUUUUUUGCACAUACUUAAAAUACCAAUGAGGCACAAGUGGGAUGCUUCUUUACCACUUACACCAGUCAUCUAAUGCCCAAUUGUGCGAUGUACUACACCAUAGUUGGCAUCAGUACUGAAUUUUUCCCUGCACCUUGAUACUGGUCCUAUAUCUUAAUGGGAAUCUGUGAAGAUGUACCUGUGGUUUCCUUCAAGGUCAAACAUGCUAUUAUUUUGAACGCCACAGAAUGUAACACAGAAAUAAAGGCACUAAUCAGCUACACAAAAACAAAAUAAAUGGACAAAAUAUUAAACAAACAACAGAGAUGAGAGGCCAAAGUAAAUUCCCAGGGAAAACUCCAACUGGGCUUUUUUUGUGAUACAGAUUGUUUUUGUAGUGUUUGCAAUGUCUCAAAUUUGAAACAGGCUCUCUUCAGGCUGGCAGAGGGAAGAAGAGAUUGAUCCAAACUGGGCUUUAAGUGACAUGUUUUGGCAUAACUGAGCUAAAGCGUUUACAUGGCUGUUAAAGAGGAGGAUGAAGUUUUAAAUGGCCACCAUGUCCACUUUGGCAUAAAAACGUAACUUUUAUAUGCAGUGUAGCUGUGUGGGUCCCACAAUAUUAGACAGACAAGGAGGAUGAGGUAAUAUCUUUUAUUCAUAUUACCUCAACCCCUUGUCUAACUAAAUUUAUGACUUAAGUAAAUCCAACUUUGUUUAAAGGUCUAGUGAAAGAGAAUAUCAAUCGGGGAGGCAAGGUGGAUGAGGUAAUAUCUUUUAUUGGACCUGCUGCUGGUGAAAGACACAAGCUUUCAAGCUUACAGAGAUCUGAAGAGCUUAAUGUAAGCUCAAAAGAUUGUCUCGCUAGUAUCCUGGGACCUACACAGCUACAACACCACUGCAAAUAUCAAAUUGGUCAUCAGAGGUGUGAUUUUCAAAAAUCAGUGAGAGUUUGGCAUUCAGCACUGCUGAAAAAUCACAUCCUAGAUUAAUUCUUCCACUUGGAGGAGACACUACGGUGGGUGCUUUAGAAACCAUGGUAGAUGACAGAAAGAUACUCCGUUCCAGCCUCAGUCCAAGCCCAUGCCACAUACUCAUGAUGGACCGAUUUAUUAUUCAAGAGCUGCAAACAAUUCCAAGAAUAAUGAAAAGUUUUCAAUGUUGCCAGUCCCCAGUAUUCAGAAAUCAUGAGUCAGGACCCAGAAAUCAUGAGAUUUCAAAAAUAAUAAAUUUGGAGCUCUUUUUAUUUGACAUCUGGUAUGUGCAUUUUUAGGGUUUUACAUUUUUAACCUUAUCUCUGCAGUCAUGAGGGCUAGAAACUUAAGGUUUGGAGGUUGUGUUUUCCCCCCUCCCCCGCCCCCAGUGUAUGCUGGAAUUCUGGUAUAGUCACAUGAUUCUGGGUCUGGGGCUUUAAGAAAAACACCAAAUAUGAGACUUGUGGUAAAAUUGAGAGAGUUGGCAACACUGAGUUUUAUAGCCAGGGAGUCAUUGAACCAUGUAAAAAUUAUACCAAAGUCAGAGGAAAACAUGGCUGAGAACAAGACACUUGCACUGUUACUGAAAGGUAGCUACUGAUUUAGGAUCUGGCCCUGUGUCUUUUGUUUAAAAAUGGGCCCGAAUUUUGGGCAAGUUGAGGUCUGGAUCCAAGUUUUGUUGGUUUUACCUGUCUAUACUAAGGGCUAAACCAUGGCCUAGGUUUUCCAAACCAACUAGGUGAAUGAGUCAUGCAACACUUAGUCAUUUCAAUAAGAGCUGCGUGGCUCAAUCCCCUCGUCAGGUUUGAAAAUCUCAAGCUGAAACUCCAGCUCUGGAUUCCCCGGAAGUUCAGCUCCAAUUCGAGAUUAACAGUUUGCAGCUCCAGCGCUGCGGGAUUUCAACGCUGCAGCAUGUGCUCCCAACUUAUAGCCUUUAACCUCAAUAGUAUUUGUCUUUUAUAUCGGAAAUCAUUCUGUUCUAUUUUUUUCUGACUUUUUCUGUAAAGAAACAUGUAUUUUUGGUGAAUAUUGAUUGCAUAUAUCAUAUUUUUACAAUGUCUUUAGAAAAAGAAAUAAAUUAGUUUGGCUUUCUUUGC
Gopherus evgoodei (Goodes thornscrub tortoise) is the source of this 3724-nucleotide long non-coding RNA. RefSeq lists it as uncharacterized. NCBI's taxonomy places the organism in Eukaryota, Metazoa, Chordata, Testudines, Testudinidae. The transcript is spliced from 2 exons. The record is from RefSeq and is a predicted model, not a curated record.